AGCAGCCGCGGUAAUUCCAGCUCCAAUAGCGUAUAUUAAAGUUGUUGCAGUUAAAAAGCUCGUAGUUGAAUUUCGGGAUCAGUUCGCUGGUCGUGCCUCUGGUAUGUACUGGUGUUACUGGUUCCUCCCUUCUGACGAACUGUCAUGUCAUUUAUUUGGUGUGGCAGGAAAUCAGGACUGUUACUUUGAAAAAAUUAGAGUGUUUAAAGCAGGCCUAUGCCCGAAUACAUUAGCAUGGAAUAACGAAAUAGGACGUGCGGUUCUAUUUUGUUGGUUUCUAGAGUCGCCGUAAUGAUUAAUAGGGAUAGUUGGGGGCAUUAGUAUUCAGUUGCUAGAGGUGAAAUUCUUGGAUUUACUGAAGACUAACUACUGCGAAAGCAUUUGCCAAGGAUGUUUUCAUUAAUCAAGAACGAAAGUUAGGGGAUCGAAGACGAUCAGAUACCGUCGUAGUCUUAACCAUAAACUAUGCCGACUAGGGAUCGGAUGAUGUUAAUUUUUUAAUGACUCG
RNAcentral lists this ribosomal RNA (508 nucleotides) under uncultured Glomus. RNAcentral describes it as "bacterial SSU rRNA". It matches the Rfam family "Eukaryotic small subunit ribosomal RNA", at positions 569 to 1078 of the family's 1831-position model. Lineage: Eukaryota; Fungi; Glomeromycota; Glomeromycetes; Glomerales; Glomeraceae. The record is from RNAcentral.